This 738-nucleotide ribosomal RNA is filed under the name Triticum aestivum (bread wheat). Its description in RNAcentral is "partial small subunit ribosomal RNA". The record is from RNAcentral. Lineage: Eukaryota; Viridiplantae; Streptophyta; Magnoliopsida; Poales; Poaceae.
AUGGUGAUGGUUGACCGCAAGCGGAAGGCAAAAGCAACUGAUGACAUAGCUCCUAGGGCCACUCGUCAGAAAACCAUGCACGAGAUGCUCGCUACUUCAUCUCCAUGCAACCUCACUGGGCCUGAUAUACCAAGUGGAUUAGUUGACACGUCUAUGUACUAUGUGAUGACUGAAGAUCAUGUGAUGCAACCGCUUAUUGAUGAAGCUGGUGCUGCCGACGAGGGUUCGCAUGCAAAAUACAUUGCUAAGUACACUCCGAUCGGCAACAAAAGGCUUACUCUCCCUGGGGUUGAGGGAAGCCCUGAUCCGACUCCUAAUCUACUUGCUGUAGUUCAUCCAGAUGCAUACCUGAGUCCAGAACUAGACUACGGUUACUCGCCUUUCGAGCUUGAGCUAAAUCAGUUUCAGUACCCUGAUCAUGUUUGCCUUGGGUUCUACGACAAUGUGGAGUAUCUCUGUUGCAUUACUUCUCUUGGAUGUGUUUGGUAUGAAAGCUCACACCCCACACCUUUGAAACUUGAUGGCAACAAGAUAAAGUACCAGUUCAGUCUCAAAGGGAUGGAGGCUUGGGUACGUGGAUUCAAUGAGAGAGAGAUUAAGAUGAUGGAUAUGGUUGGAUUACCAGUUUGGAGGGGUUUUGUAUCUCCUAAUGUGCCGUUGCACUUUGAGAACAUCUUGGACCCGGAGGGGGCUGCUGUGCUGCGGAUGCUGCUUUCUUCUAGGAGCAUUGGAUAUUAG